RNAcentral lists this ribosomal RNA (1566 nucleotides) under Salmonella enterica subsp. enterica serovar Enteritidis. RNAcentral describes it as "partial 23S ribosomal RNA". It matches the Rfam family "Bacterial large subunit ribosomal RNA", at positions 1254 to 2803 of the family's 2925-position model. The record is from RNAcentral. Lineage: Bacteria; Pseudomonadati; Pseudomonadota; Gammaproteobacteria; Enterobacterales; Enterobacteriaceae.
AGGUGGCCUGUGAGGGUUGCUGGAGGUAUCAGAAGUGCGAAUGCUGACAUAAGUAACGAUAAAGCGGGUGAAAAGCCCGCUCGCCGGAAGACCAAGGGUUCCUGUCCAACGUUAAUCGGGGCAGGGUGAGUCGACCCCUAAGGCGAGGCCGAAAGGCGUAGUCGAUGGGAAACGGGUUAAUAUUCCCGUACUUGGUGUUACUGCGAAGGGGGGACGGAGAAGGCUAUGUUGGCCGGGCGACGGUUGUCCCGGUUUAAGCGUGUAGGUGUGUGUUCCAGGUAAAUCCGGUUCACUUUAACACUGAGGCGUGACGACGAGGCACUACGGUGCUGAAGCAACAAAUGCCCUGCUUCCAGGAAAAGCCUCUAAGCAUCAGGUAACAUCAAAUCGUACCCCAAACCGACACAGGUGGUCAGGUAGAGAAUACCAAGGCGCUUGAGAGAACUCGGGUGAAGGAACUAGGCAAAAUGGUGCCGUAACUUCGGGAGAAGGCACGCUGACACGUAGGUGAAGUGAUUUACUCAUGGAGCUGAAGUCAGUCGAAGAUACCAGCUGGCUGCAACUGUUUAUUAAAAACACAGCACUGUGCAAACACGAAAGUGGACGUAUACGGUGUGACGCCUGCCCGGUGCCGGAAGGUUAAUUGAUGGGGUCAGCGCAAGCGAAGCUCCUGAUCGAAGCCCCGGUAAACGGCGGCCGUAACUAUAACGGUCCUAAGGUAGCGAAAUUCCUUGUCGGGUAAGUUCCGACCUGCACGAAUGGCGUAAUGAUGGCCAGGCUGUCUCCACCCGAGACUCAGUGAAAUUGAACUCGCUGUGAAGAUGCAGUGUACCCGCGGCAAGACGGAAAGACCCCGUGAACCUUUACUAUAGCUUGACACUGAACAUUGAGCCUUGAUGUGUAGGAUAGGUGGGAGGCUUUGAAGUGUGGACGCCAGUCUGCAUGGAGCCGACCUUGAAAUACCACCCUUUAAUGUUUGAUGUUCUAACGUGGACCCGUUACCCGGGUUGCGGACAGUGUCUGGUGGGUAGUUUGACUGGGGCGGUCUCCUCCUAAAGAGUAACGGAGGAGCACGAAGGUUGGCUAAUCCUGGUCGGACAUCAGGAGGUUAGUGCAAUGGCAUAAGCCAGCUUGACUGCGAGCGUGACGGCGCGAGCAGGUGCGAAAGCAGGUCAUAGUGAUCCGGUGGUUCUGAAUGGAAGGGCCAUCGCUCAACGGAUAAAAGGUACUCCGGGGAUAACAGGCUGAUACCGCCCAAGAGUUCAUAUCGACGGCGGUGUUUGGCACCUCGAUGUCGGCUCAUCACAUCCUGGGGCUGAAGUAGGUCCCAAGGGUAUGGCUGUUCGCCAUUUAAAGUGGUACGCGAGCUGGGUUUAGAACGUCGUGAGACAGUUCGGUCCCUAUCUGCCGUGGGCGCUGGAGAACUGAGGGGGGCUGCUCCUAGUACGAGAGGACCGGAGUGGACGCAUCACUGGUGUUCGGGUUGUCAUGCCAAUGGCACUGCCCGGUAGCUAAAUGCGGAAGAGAUAAGUGCUGAAAGCAUCUAAGCACGAAACUUGCCCCGAG